CCGCUAUUUCUUCGGCUGACUGGAUCCUAAUCCAAUUGGGAAUCGAAUUUGUUUUGAUCUCAAAUUCCUUCGAUCGACAGCUAUUUAAGGUCUCAACACUCCUUUGCGAUCAAUCCCCCAUCUUGAUCUUUCUUCUUCCCUGCUGUUCUCUGGAAGCCGCGGAUUGGAUUCAUUUGCUCUCGCCAGAUAAACUUCGCCGGAAGUAAGUUCUGCAGAAAUGGUGAAUCGUGAGCGGCUAGAGAGAAACAGCAAGAUGCUGACACUGACAUCAUCAAGAGAGCAGAAACGGAAGCGGACAUCACAGGAGCAGGAGCGGACAUCACUCGAAGCAGCAGUACACGGAGCAAUCGAAGCAGCAGUACAACGAGACCCGGAAAAUUUGAUUAAAUUCAUCGCGCCGUUGGAGAGAAACGUCAAGAUUAUGGUAGCCCAAUUCGAAGCUAAAAACAUGAAGGAUGUAGCCGACAUUCUGCGUGACGUCCCUGAUAGACUUGCAAAUGCUCUUGGAAGAAUCGCAGAACUAGAUAGACCCAAGAAUGAGGAUGCAAGGACGUGACCCGAAGACGAAAUGUGGAUAGACGAAGCCAUAACUUAUAAAUUUUUGCAGGGUUUGAUCGCAAUAAUUUUUUCAAUCUCAUAGUGACUAAGCAGAUGGCAGUUCGUAGGGAGAAAAUAGAGUUUGACAGCAGCACUCAUUUUUCUCAAUUGAUUUUAGAUUGCGUAGUAUUGGUAGUGCUAGGGAUUGGUGGUGAAUAAGUUUAGUGGGAUUUGUUGAGCGAUUGGAAACAUUUUUUAUUGUUAAUAAA
This is a long non-coding RNA of Elaeis guineensis (African oil palm), 806 nucleotides long. RefSeq lists it as uncharacterized. NCBI's taxonomy places the organism in Eukaryota, Viridiplantae, Streptophyta, Magnoliopsida, Arecales, Arecaceae. The record is from RefSeq and is a predicted model, not a curated record.